CAGGGAGACAACAAAAUGUUUAAUAUUAUUAUUUUGUCACCUUAGGUCGAUCGGUAUCUCACGUUCUUAAUAAUUAAGAAUUUCAUUUCCUAAGUUUUUCUAGGUCACACCCAUUAUUUUUCCUGGGCCAUUAGCUCAGGUGGUUAGAGCGCACCCCUGAUAAGGGUGAGGUCCCUGGUUCAAGUCCAGGAUGGCCCAUAUCUCUAUGUUGGGGGUAUAGCUCAGUUGGUAGAGCGCCUGCUUUGCAAGCAGGAUGUCAGCGGUUCGAGUCCGCUUACCUCCACUGAUUACCACCUCUUCCAUAAUCUUUAGAAAGGAAAUGUUUUGAGUUGUGAUCAAAUUCUGAACGAAUCUAGCUUCCUAAUGAAAGUAUUAAGAUGCUGGACUCAUUGAAUUAAUUUCAUUGUUUUCAGAGAACCUUGACAACUGCAUAGAUUAUUUUUUUAAAGACAAUAAGCAUCUUUAAUGAUGCAGAUUUAUUAUUUGUGCGAAUGCAUUAAUAACAAUUCUAUUAAGCUGAUGCUUCAAUUUUGAAGUUAUU
Molecule: transfer RNA, 541 nt
Filed under: uncultured Prochlorococcus sp.
Lineage: Bacteria; Bacillati; Cyanobacteriota; Cyanophyceae; Synechococcales; Prochlorococcaceae
Description: partial 16S-23S ribosomal RNA intergenic spacer
Rfam family: tRNA (bases 211-283)
Source: RNAcentral